RNAcentral lists this ribosomal RNA (274 nucleotides) under uncultured bacterium. Its description in RNAcentral is "partial 16S ribosomal RNA". It matches the Rfam family "Bacterial small subunit ribosomal RNA", at positions 523 to 796 of the family's 1533-position model. The record is from RNAcentral.
AUACGGAGGGGGUUAGCGUUGUUCGGAAUUACUGGGCGUAAAGCGUACGUAGGCGGACUGGAAAGUUGGGGGUGAAAUCCCGGGGCUCAACCCCGGAACUGCCUCCAAAACUUCCAAUCUCGAGAUCGAGAGAGGUGAGUGGAAUUCCAAGUGUAGAGGUGAAAUUCGUAGAUAUUUGGAGGAACACCAGUGGCGAAGGCGGCUCACUGGCUCGAUACUGACGCUGAGGUACGAAAGCGUGGGGAGCAAACAGGAUUAGAAACCCCGGUAGUCC